This 468-nucleotide ribosomal RNA is filed under the name uncultured bacterium. RNAcentral describes it as "partial 16S ribosomal RNA". It matches the Rfam family "Bacterial small subunit ribosomal RNA", at positions 28 to 507 of the family's 1533-position model. The record is from RNAcentral.
GACGAACGCUGGCGGCGUGCUUAACACAUGCAAGUCGAACGGAAAGGCCCUGCUUUUGUGGGGUGCUCGAGUGGCGAACGGGUGAGUAACACGUGAGUAACCUGCCCUUGACUUUGGGGUAACUUCAGGAAACUCGGGCUAAUACCGGAUAGGAUCUCCUGCUGCAUGGUGUGGGUUGGAAAGUUUCGGCGGUUGGGGCUGGACUCGCGGCUUAUCCGCUUGUUUGUGAGGUAGUGGUUUACCAAGGCUUUGACGGGUAGCCGGCCUGAGAGCGUGACCGGCCACCUGGGGACUGAGAUACGGACCAGAAUCCAACGGGAGGCAGAAGUGGGAAAUAUGGCACAAUGGGCGGACGCCUGAGGCAGAAACGCCGCGUGCGUGAUGACGGCUUUCGGGUGGUAAACCGCUGUGGCCGGUGACGAAGCGUGAUUGACGGUAAUGGGUAAGGAAGCACCGGCUAACUACGUG